AUCGGACAACGGCGAACAAAUGGAGAGGUCGGCAUGUUCUUCGACAACGUGGUUAUCGCAGGGGUGGUAACGGUGGGGUUGAUGGUGGCUUUCUUCGCCGGUCUAGGCAUUUUCAUCUGGAAAGACUCGAGCAAGCGCAAGCGCCCUUGACCUUCCUGAUUCAUGAGCACGCAAGGCAUUUAGGGCGACUUCGGUCGCCCAUUUUUUUG
RNAcentral lists this small RNA (209 nucleotides) under Pseudomonas sp. URMO17WK12:I11. RNAcentral's name for it is "P20". It matches the Rfam family "PhrS". Lineage: Bacteria; Pseudomonadati; Pseudomonadota; Gammaproteobacteria; Pseudomonadales; Pseudomonadaceae. The record is from RNAcentral.